GAUGAACGCUGGCGGCGUGCCUAAUACAUGCAAGUCGAGCGAAUGGAUUAAGAGCUUGCUCUUAUGAAGUUAGCGGCGGACGGGUGAGUAACACGUGGGUAACCUGCCCAUAAGACUGGGAUAACUCCGGGAAACCGGGGCUAAUACCGGAUAACAUUUUGAACCGCAUGGUUCGAGAUUGAAAGGCGGCUUCGGCUGUCACUUAUGGAUGGACCCGCGUCGCAUUAGCUAGUUGGUGAGGUAACGGCUCACCAAGGCAACGAUGCGUAGCCGACCUGAGAGGGUGAUCGGCCACAAUGGGACCGAGACACGGCCAAGACUCCUACGGGAGGCAGCAGUAGGGAAUCUUCCGCAAUGGACGAAAGUCUGACGGAGCAACGCCGCGUGAGUGAUGAAGGCUUUCGGGUCGUAAAACUCUGUUGUUAGGGAAGAACAAGUGCUAGUUGAAUAAGCUGGCACCUUGACGGUACCUAACCAGAAAGCCACGGCUAACUACGUGCCAGCCGCCGCAGUAA
This 515-nucleotide ribosomal RNA is filed under the name uncultured bacterium. Its description in RNAcentral is "partial 16S ribosomal RNA". It matches the Rfam family "Bacterial small subunit ribosomal RNA", at positions 28 to 523 of the family's 1533-position model. The record is from RNAcentral.